UUAGAGAUAGAGGAGUGCCUUCGGGAACGCUGAGACAGGUGCUGCAUGGCUGUCGUCAGCUCGUGUUGUGAAAUGUUGGGUUAAGUCCCGCAACGAGCGCAACCCUUAUCCUUUGUUGCCAGCACGUGAUGGUGGGAACUCAAAGGAGACUGCCGGUGAUAAACCGGAGGAAGGUGGGGAUGACGUCAAGUCAUCAUGGCCCUUACGAGUAGGGCUACACACGUGCUACAAUGGCAGAUACAAAGAGAAGCGACC
This 255-nucleotide ribosomal RNA is filed under the name Proteus mirabilis. Its description in RNAcentral is "partial 16S ribosomal RNA". It matches the Rfam family "Bacterial small subunit ribosomal RNA", at positions 1000 to 1254 of the family's 1533-position model. Lineage: Bacteria; Pseudomonadati; Pseudomonadota; Gammaproteobacteria; Enterobacterales; Morganellaceae. The record is from RNAcentral.